Non-coding RNA from Nomia melanderi (Alkali bee), 687 nucleotides. The record is from RefSeq and is a predicted model, not a curated record. Lineage: Eukaryota; Metazoa; Arthropoda; Insecta; Hymenoptera; Halictidae.
AAACAUAAUUCAACGUAUACGCUUUCGACGUGUCUGUCAAACUUUUCUCACGAUAUAAUAUAUCGUACCGCAAACAAGACGUUGCUCGUGACAAUUCGCUACUUCCGCCUUCUUCCACAUUGUCGUUGACUCGUACAGAGAGAGACUAACUAAAUGUUACUCUUGCAAAAAUAUCAUUUCACACUUCAUAACGAUUAUUCUACUUAUUCACGAAUAACAGCAUACUUGGCGUUGCAUCGAGUCGUUUUUCUUUAAUAAAUAUUUUAUUAUAAAAUACUAUUUUACAAUAUAAAGUUUCGAUACUUGGAAAAUUUGUCGUAAUUAGACGCCGCAGUCGUGAACACAAAUUACAGUAAACGGAAACUCUGCUCCUAGACAAACAUUGCACAUAACCAACAAAAGGUAAACCUUACUAGAGCUGUCACUGUUGGUGCCAAGUGGCGUCAUUAUGCGUCGACAACAAGAACUUAUCCUUAACGAAAAACUGAUUGAUUCUAAUGGAUGUCGCUCGAUCGUUUUUCAUACUUAUCGUUAUAUCGAAAUGUAAUAUGCUUUAUUAACUUGCGAGCUAAUUCGCGAGUUGAUUCGAAGAAGUUGGCAACAAUUUUUUUCAAGGAUUUUAAACAAUUUUAAUUUCACUGAACUUUUUACCAAACCAAGCAAUGAAUAAAUAUCGCUUUACAAUGA